This is a non-coding RNA of Nicotiana tabacum (common tobacco), 1010 nucleotides long. The record is from RefSeq and is a predicted model, not a curated record. Lineage: Eukaryota; Viridiplantae; Streptophyta; Magnoliopsida; Solanales; Solanaceae.
AAACUUCCGCUUUCCCCAAUCUUUACUCUCUUCUUCUCUGAUUUUCACUCUUAUUUAAAAAGAAACUUCAGCCUUCCAUGCUCUCUUCUUUCUGCUUGCCUUCUUCUUUCAUGAAUCUCGUUUGGGAUUCAUGAAGUAAUUUCUUUUUACCUUAAUGAGAUUUUAAUGUUAAGAUUUGAAAUUGCGGUUUUAAGAAUAUAAUUUUCCCAAACAACUAAAAGGCACGGCUCGUAUAGAUCUGUGGAAUUUCGUUUUUGUCUUAGAAUUUUUUUGGACUACAAGAGGAAAGAAGCACUGUGGGUGGCAAAGAAUUUGCAAAGAAGUUGCAUAUUGAGAGGGAGACUGAUUUAUCGGAAAAUAUAAUUGAAGGUUUUGGGAUUCUGUCGAUAUCGGAGGUUCACAUUUGAAAGAUAAUACUUUCCUAUGGAUAAAUCUUGGAUUACAAAGCCAAGGAACACCACUGAGUAUUUGUUUGGGUUAAAUCAGUUUUUAGAUUUUGCAUUUGCUAAUGCUGUUGUGGGAGAUAGAAUAAAAUGUCCUUGUUCUAAAUGUGGAUUCGUAAAGUGGCAGACUAGAGAUGUAGCGUUUGAUCAUUUGGUAUGCAAACCAUUCCCUCAAAAUUAUGUCACUUGGAGUAUUCAUGGUGAAAGAAAUGUACUGCCUAAUUCUAUAAAUAUUGAGGUUAUACAAGAGACAUUACCUCCUGAAAAUCAUGUAGAAUUAUUGAUCAAUGAAGCAUUUGGGGGCCUAAGACACGAUAGGGUUGAUGUAGGUCCGUCAAAAGUAGAAGGGGGUGAAGAAAGGUUAAAUGAUGAGCCUGCUUCAAAUGACAAAGACUUUUUCGAGUUGCUUAGAGAUGGAAGUCAAGAAUUGUAUGAAGGGUCCAAGUACUCAAAACUAGAAUUUUUAUUAAAAUUAUAUCACAUAAAGUGUUUGUCUGGGCUAAGUGACAAGGGAAUGUCCAUGUCCAUGUCCAUAAAAUUGUAUCACAUAAUUUUUUUUCUUUGCAA